RNAcentral lists this ribosomal RNA (1495 nucleotides) under metagenome. RNAcentral describes it as "bacterial SSU rRNA". It matches the Rfam family "Bacterial small subunit ribosomal RNA". The record is from RNAcentral.
AGAGUUUGAUCAUGGCUCAGAAUGAACGCUGGCGGCGUGCUUAACACAUGCAAGUCGAGCGAGAAAGUUCCUUCGGGAAUGAGUAAAGCGGCGGACGGGUGAGUAACGCGUAAGGAUCUACCCUUUAGUGAAGAAUACCCUCGAGAAAUCGAGGCUAAUACUGCAUACGUCCCUUCGGGGAGAAAGGUGGCCUCUUGCUACCGCUAAAGGAUGAACUUGCGUACUAUUAGCUAGUUGGUGGGGUAAAAGCCUACCAAGGCGAUGAUGGUUAACCGGCCUGAGAGGGUGUACGGUCACACUGGAACUGAGAUACGGUCCAGACUCCUACGGGAGGCAGCAGUGAGGAAUAUUGCGCAAUGGGCGAAAGCCUGACGCGGCGACGCCGCGUGGAGGAUGACGGCCUUCGGGUUGUAAACUCCUGUUAAGUGGGAAGAAAAGCUUGUUUCUAAUAAAGACAGGUUCUGACGGUACCACUAGAGAAAGCACCGGCUAACUUCGUGCCAGCAGCCGCGGUAAUACGAGGGGUGCUAGCGUUAUUCGGAAUUACUGGGCGUAAAGGGUGUGUAGGCGGUUUAUUAAGUCUGCUGUUAAAUAUCUCGGCUCAACCGGGAAACAGCGGUAGAUACUGGUAAGCUAGAGGAUGGAAGAGAGAAGUGGAAUUCUCGGAGUAGCGGUAAAAUGCGUAGAUCUCGAGAGGAACACCGAUGGCGAAGGCAGCUUCUUGGUCCAUUUCUGACGCUAAUGCACGAAAGCGUGGGGAGCAAACAGGAUUAGAUACCCUGGUAGUCCACGCCGUAAACGAUGAUCACUAGACGUUAGUUCUGCUUGCAGAACUAGUGUCGUAGCUAACGCGUUAAGUGAUCCGCCUGGGGACUACGGUCGCAAGAUUAAAACUCAAAGGAAUUGACGGGGGACCGCACAAGCGGUGGAACAUGUGGUUUAAUUCGAUACUACGCGAGGAACCUUACCUAGGCUUGACAUGUAAUUGAUCGCUGUAGAAAUGCAGUUUUCCAAGUUUACUUGGACAGUUACACAGGUGCUGCAUGGCUGUCGUCAGCUCGUGUCGUGAGAUGUUUGGUUAAGUCCUCUAACGAGCGCAACCCUUGUCACCAGUUGCAACUUUUUUAAGGCACUCUGGUGAGACUGCCCGGGAAACCGGGAGGAAGGUGGGGAUGACGUCAAGUCCUCAUGGCCCUUAUGCCUAGGGCAACACACGUGUUACAAUGGUCGAUACAAAGGGCUGCAAACUUGCAAAAGUAAGCAAAUCCCAUAAAGUCGAUCUAAGUUCGGAUUGAGGUCUGCAAUUCGACCUCAUGAAGCUGGAAUCGCUAGUAAUCGCGUAUCAGAACGACGCGGUGAAUACGUUCUCGGUCCUUGUACACACCGCCCGUCACACCACGAAAGUUGUCUGUACCCGAAGUCGCUUUAGCUAACCCGUAAGGGAAGCGAGUGCCUAAGGUAUGGGGAGUGAUUGGGGUGAAGUCGUAACAAGGUA